AGUGAACGCUGGCGGUAUGCCUAACACAUGCAAGUCGAACGGCAGCACAGCAAGAUCUUGCUCUUACGGGUUGCGAGUGGCGUACGGGUGACGAAUACAUCCUAACCUACUUUUUCGUGGAGGCUAACGUAGGUAAACCUACUCUAAUAUCGCAUACGGCCUACGAUUGAAUGCAGGAGAGCUUUGCGGUUUGCGCUAUUGAAGCAGCCGAUCUCGUAUUUGCUGGUUUGCGGGGUAAAGGCCCACCAAGCCGACGAUCGGUAGCUGGUCUGAUAGGAGGAUCGGCGACACUAGAAGUGAGACACGCUCCAGACGACUGAGGGAGGCAGCAGUCGGGAAUAGUGGACAAAGGUGGGAAGCAUGGCCCAAUGGUAGCGAGUGUGUUAAGAAGGCCUUCGGGUUGUAAAGCCCUUUUGUGGGGAAAGAAAAGCAGCAGGUUAAUACGCAGCUGUUGUGACGGUACCCAAAGAAUAAGCACCGGCUAACUUCGUG
This 492-nucleotide ribosomal RNA is filed under the name uncultured bacterium. RNAcentral's name for it is "partial 16S ribosomal RNA". It matches the Rfam family "Bacterial small subunit ribosomal RNA", at positions 29 to 507 of the family's 1533-position model. The record is from RNAcentral.